RNAcentral lists this non-coding RNA (142 nucleotides) under Pan troglodytes (chimpanzee). Lineage: Eukaryota; Metazoa; Chordata; Mammalia; Primates; Hominidae. The record is from RNAcentral.
AGCUCCGGCUGUUCUGUAAAGAAACUAAACUGAGAUGGAUUGAGCCACCAUGCCCGGCCUAAGUCUAUAUAAUAUUUGGGCAGGACACACAGCCUGUGAAGAGUUGGAUGUGAAAAAUAGUCACUGAGAAAAUGCUGCCUCA